This 114-nucleotide non-coding RNA is filed under the name Solanum tuberosum (potato). RNAcentral describes it as "Bacterial small subunit ribosomal RNA". It matches the Rfam family "Bacterial small subunit ribosomal RNA", at positions 757 to 869 of the family's 1533-position model. Lineage: Eukaryota; Viridiplantae; Streptophyta; Magnoliopsida; Solanales; Solanaceae. The record is from Rfam by way of RNAcentral.
AAGCUAGGGGAGCAAAUGGGAUUAGAUACCCCAAUAGUCCUAGCCAUAAAUGAUGGAUACUAGGCGUUAUGCGUAUCAACCCGUGCACUGCUGUAGCUAACGACUUCACAGACC